RNAcentral lists this transfer RNA (68 nucleotides) under Marmota monax (woodchuck). RNAcentral's name for it is "tRNA.Pro". Lineage: Eukaryota; Metazoa; Chordata; Mammalia; Rodentia; Sciuridae. The record is from RNAcentral.
GGAUUGUGGCUCAGCGGUAGAGCGCUUGCCUAGGACGUUCGAGGCCCUGGGUUCUAUCCUCAGCACCA